This 465-nucleotide ribosomal RNA is filed under the name uncultured bacterium. RNAcentral's name for it is "partial 16S ribosomal RNA". It matches the Rfam family "Bacterial small subunit ribosomal RNA", at positions 338 to 795 of the family's 1533-position model. The record is from RNAcentral.
ACUACGGGGGGCAGCAGUGAGGAAUAUUGGUCAAUGGGCGCGAGCCUGAACCAGCGACGCCGCGUGAGGGAUGAAGGUCUUCGGAUCGUAAACCUCUGUCAGCAGGGAAGAACGGUCACUGUGCUAAUCAGCAGUGAAUUGACGGUACCUGCAAAGGAAGCACCGGCUAACUCCGUGCCAGCAGCCGAGGUAAUACGGAGGGUGCGAGCGUUAAUCGGAAUUACCGGGCGUAAAGCGUUCGUAGGCGGUAUGUCAAGUCAAGGGUGAAAUCCCCGCGCUCAACGUGGGAACUGCCUUUGACACUGGCAAACUGGAGUGUGUGAGAGGAUAGUGGAAUGCCAGGUGUAGGCGUGAAAUCCGUAGAUAUCUGGAGGAACAUCAGUGGCGAAGGCGACUAUCUGGCACAUAACUGACGCUGAGGAGCGAAAGCGUGGGUAGCAAACAGGAUUAGAUACCCCUGUAGUC